UAUAUUCCACUUUGAUUUUCAGGCGGUGAGAGUGUCCAAAGCAGUGCUCAUACGCUUGCCAGUGUGAGGCACGUUCGCAGGUUGUCCUGGUCCAGCGCAGUGGUGUGGGUGAUGUGCAGAGAGUGCCACUGGCUGAGACAUACUGCAAAAGGUCACGCCUGCUGCAAAAGGCCGUUCCUGGAGGUGACAGGGCUGUAGAUGACCGGCAGUGGAUACAGAACUGCUAAAACAUUAAGAAUGAAUUUACUCUCCACGGAGAAGAUCUGGAAUGGUAAAAACAGCAGUGUGAUGCAACCUGUGCCUGUGAGGGGUCAGACUGCCUUCAACAUACAGAGAAGUGGAGGAAGGAUUCACAUCUGUGGGGUGUGCCUGUGUGUGCCUGUGUGUGUGUGGUAUGGGCCACUAGUGGUAGGUCAAAAGCUGACAUUUAAUUCUUAACUUUGAAAAUUAGAGAAGGCUAUCCUAUAAGCUUAUAUUUAAAAUCACCAACAUAACCAUUUCUAUAAUUAAAAGUCCAAAGACAUAGAUUCAAAAGAGCAGAGUAUAUAUAAUGCCUCCUCCAGACCAGCAUGAGGAAAAAGAUUUAAGGAGGGAAGAAACAACAGAGAAGUGGAAAAUAAAUCCAAAGAGCAAGAUAAUAGAAGUACACACUUAUCAAUUAGAAUUUAAAAGUACAAACAGUGUGAUAUCUCAUGAUGAGCAAGAAAAAUUUUCAGAACAUUCUUUAAAACAAAACAGAAGUGGGGUAUUUAUGUCCAUUUUUUUUUUAAAAAAAGCUGAUUUGGAUUGGUUAAAAGAAAAUACUGGGAACAGAAGGCUCUCCAACCUUGUUCUUCUGAUUCAAGAUUCUCUUGGCUAAUUUUGGAUUUUAUAUGUCCACAUAUGCUUUGGAAUCAGCUUUUAAUUCCCACAAUAAUGAACAUGCCAGAAUUAUACCUGGAAUUGAGUCUCACCCAUGAAUCAGCUUGAGAGAAAAGUCAGCCUAACAAUGGAGGUCUUUCCAAUCUGUAGGAAUGACACCCCUCGCCUCCUUUGUAGUUUUCAAAGUAAAGGUCUUGCACAACUUUUCAAAUAUCAGUUUCUAGGCAUUUUCUUUGUAUGUUAUUAUAAAUGAUAUAUGUUUAAUAUUUCAUGUUUUGCUUAUUUAUUGGGAUAUGGAAAUAAAAUUGUUUUCUAUACUGACAGCAUUCAACAUUCUUGCCAAAUUUGAUUAUCAAUUUGUAUACUACAUGGAGUUCUUUCAGUGAUUUAUAUACACAUUUGUGUCAUCAGCAAACAACGACUUCUAUUUAUUCCUUUGAUUCUUUGUCCUAGCUUAUUUAUUGUUCUUGGCUUAUCACACUGGAAAGGAUCUCUAAUAUUAGUGUGAACCCCACUGUGAUAUGGGCAGCCUUUCUUCCCUCCUGGGGGCAAGAGUUCAACUUCUUAUUGUUAAGUUUACUUUAGUAUUUUUGUUGAUGUUUUUAUUGGAUUAAGGAUGUACUAUUCUAGUUCUGG
Molecule: long non-coding RNA, 1497 nt
Filed under: Marmota monax (woodchuck)
Lineage: Eukaryota; Metazoa; Chordata; Mammalia; Rodentia; Sciuridae
Source: RNAcentral